GCCUACGGCCAUACCAGUCUGAAAGUGCCUGAUCUCGUCAGAUCUCAGAAGUCAUGCAGACUUGGGCCUGCUUAGUACUUGUAUGGGAGACCACCUACUUUGAAGAAGCCUGCUUAAACCCAGGCC
Molecule: non-coding RNA, 126 nt
Organism: Pelobates cultripes (western spadefoot toad)
Lineage: Eukaryota; Metazoa; Chordata; Amphibia; Anura; Pelobatidae
Source: the annotation of a GenBank genome assembly